CACCUACGGGUGGCAGCAGUGGGGAAUUUUGGACAAUGGGCGCAAGCCUGAUCCAGCCAUGCCGCGUGCAGGAUGAAGGCCUUCGGGUUGUAAACUGCUUUUGUACGGAACGAAAAGGUUUCUUUUAAUACAGGGAACUGAUGACGGUACCGUAAGAAUAAGCACCGGCUAACUACGUGCCAGCAGCCGCGGUAAUACGUAGGGUGCGAGCGUUAAUCGGAAUUACUGGGCGUAAAGCGUGCGCAGGCGGUGAUGUAAGACAGAGGUGAAAUCCCCGGGCUCAACCUGGGAACUGCCUUUGUGACUGCAUCGCUGGAGUGCGGCAGAGGGGGAUGGAAUUCCGCGUGUAGCAGUGAAAUGCGUAGAUAUGCGGAGGAACACCGAUGGCGAAGGCAAUCCCCUGGGCCUGCACUGACGCUCAUGCACGAAAGCGUGGGGAGCAAACAGGAUUAGAUACCCUGGUAGUCCACGCCCUAAACGAUGUCAACUGGUUGUUGGGAAUUAGUUUUCUCAGUAACGAAGCUAACGCGUGAAGUGACCGC
This 542-nucleotide ribosomal RNA is filed under the name uncultured bacterium. RNAcentral describes it as "bacterial SSU rRNA". It matches the Rfam family "Bacterial small subunit ribosomal RNA", at positions 335 to 872 of the family's 1533-position model. The record is from RNAcentral.